Molecule: ribosomal RNA, 1381 nt
Filed under: uncultured bacterium
Lineage: Bacteria
Description: 16S ribosomal RNA
Rfam family: Bacterial small subunit ribosomal RNA
Source: RNAcentral
GAGUUUGAUUCAUGGCUCAGGACGAACGCUGGCGGCGUGCUUAACACAUGCAAGUCGAACGAUGAAGCCUAGCUUGCUAGGUGGAUUAGUGGCGAACGGGUGAGUAAUACGUGAGUGACCUACCUUUGACUCUGGGAUAAGCCUGGGAAACUGGGUCUAAUACCGGAUACGACCAAUCUCCGCAUGGGGUGUUGGUGGAAAGCGUUAUGGAGUGGUUUUAGAUGGGCUCACGGCCUAUCAGCUUGUUGGUGAGGUAAUGGCUUACCAAGGCGACGACGGGUAGCCGGCCUGAGAGGGUGACCGGCCACACUGGGACUGAGACACGGCCCAGACUCCUACGGGAGGCAGCAGUGGGGAAUAUUGCACAAUGGGCGCAAGCCUGAUGCAGCGACGCCGCGUGAGGGAUGAUGGCCUUCGGGUUGUAAACCUCUGUUAGCAUCGAAGAAGCGAAAGUGACGGUAGGUGCAGAGAAAGCGCCGGCUAACUACGUGCCAGCAGCCGCGGUAAUACGUAGGGCGCGAGCGUUGUCCGGAAUUAUUGGGCGUAAAGAGCUUGUAGGCGGUUGGUCGCGUCUGCUGUGAAAGGCUGGGGCUUAACCCUGGUUUUGCAGUGGGUACGGGCUAACUAGAGUGCAGUAGGGGAGACUGGAAUUCCUGGUGUAGCGGUGGAAUGCGCAGAUAUCAGGAGGAACACCGAUGGCGAAGGCAGGUCUCUGGGCUGUAACUGACGCUGAGAAGCGAAAGCAUGGGGAGCGAACAGGAUUAGAUACCCUGGUAGUCCAUGCCGUAAACGUUGGGCACUAGGUGUGGGGGACAUUCCACGUUUUCCGCGCCGUAGCUAACGCAUUAAGUGCCCCGCCUGGGGAGUACGGCCGCAAGGGCUAAAACUCAAAGAAAUUGACGGGGGCCCGCACAAGCGGCGGAGCAUGCGGAUUAAUUCGAUGCAAACGCGAAGAACCUUACCAAGGCUUGACAUAUACUGGACCGCGUCAGAGAUGGCGUUUCCCUUCGGGGCUGGUAUACAGGUGGUGCAUGGUUGUCGUCAGCUCGUGUCGUGAGAUGUUGGGUUAAGUCCCGCAACGAGCGCAACCCUCGUUCUAUGUUGCCAGCACGUGAUGGUGGGGACUCAUAGGAGACUGCCGGGGUCGAACUCGGAGGAAGGUGGGGAUGACGUCGAAUCAUCAUGCCCCUUAUGUACUUGGGCUUCACGCAUGCUACGAUGGCCGGUACAGAGGGUUGCGAUACUGUGAGGUGGAGCUAAUCCCUAAAAAGCCGGUCUCAGUUUCGGAUUGGGGUACUGCGAACACGACCCCGUGAAAGUCGGAGUCGCUAGGAAUCGCGGAUCGGCAACGCUGCGGUGAAAUACGUUCCCGGGCCUUGUA